AGUGAACGCUGGCGGUAGGCCUAACACAUGCAAGUCGAACGGCAGCACAGUAAGAGCUUGCUCUUACGGGUGGCGAGUGGCGGACGGGUGAGGAAUACAUCGGAAUCUACUUUUUCGUGGGGGAUAACGUAGGGAAACUUACGCUAAUACCGCAUACGACCUACGGGUGAAAGCAGGGGAUCUUCGGACCUUGCGCGAUUGAAUGAGCCGAUGUCGGAUUAGCUAGUUGGCGGGGUAAAGGCCCACCAAGGCGACGAUCCGUAGCUGGUCUGAGAGGAUGAUCAGCCACACUGGAACUGAGACACGGUCCAGACUCCUACGGGAGGCAGCAGUAGGGAAUAUUGGACAAUGGGCGCAAGCCUGAUCCAGCCAUACCGCGUGGGUGAAGAAGGCCUUCGGGUUGUAAAGCUCUUUUGUUGGGAAAGAAAAGCAGCAGGUUAAUACCCCGCUGUUCUGACGGUACCCAAAGAAUAAGCACCGGCUAACUUCGUG
RNAcentral lists this ribosomal RNA (492 nucleotides) under uncultured bacterium. RNAcentral describes it as "partial 16S ribosomal RNA". It matches the Rfam family "Bacterial small subunit ribosomal RNA", at positions 29 to 507 of the family's 1533-position model. The record is from RNAcentral.